This 465-nucleotide ribosomal RNA is filed under the name uncultured bacterium. RNAcentral's name for it is "partial 16S ribosomal RNA". It matches the Rfam family "Bacterial small subunit ribosomal RNA", at positions 28 to 507 of the family's 1533-position model. The record is from RNAcentral.
GAUGAACGCUGGCGGCGUGCUUAACACAUGCCAGUCGAACGGAAAGGCCCCUUUGGGUGUACUCGAGUGGCGCACGGGUGAGUAUCAUGUGAGUAACCUUCCCCAGACUCUGGGAAAACCUCAGCAAACAGGGGCUAAUUCCGGAAAGGACUCCUUGGUGCACGGUGGGGGUUGGAAAGAUUUGGCGGUGUUGGACGGACUGGCGGCUUAUCAGCUUGUUGGUGGGGUAGAGGCUUACCAGGGCUUCGACGCGUAGCUGGCCUGGGAGGGCGACCGGCCCCAUUGGGACUGAGAUGCGGCCCAGGCUCCUACGGGGGGCAGCAGGGGGGAAUAUUGCACAAUGGGCGGAGGCCGGAUGCAGCAGCGCCGCGGGCGGGAUGGCGGCCUUCGGGUUGUAAACCGCUUGCAGCAGGGGCGAAGCUUGUGGUGACGGUACCUGCAGAAGAAGCACCGGCUAACUACGUG